RNAcentral lists this ribosomal RNA (497 nucleotides) under uncultured bacterium. RNAcentral describes it as "partial 16S ribosomal RNA". It matches the Rfam family "Bacterial small subunit ribosomal RNA", at positions 28 to 507 of the family's 1533-position model. The record is from RNAcentral.
GAUGAACGCUGGCGGCGUGCCUAAUACAUGCAAGUCGAGCGAACAGACGAGGAGCUUGCUCCUCUGACGUUAGCGGCGGACGGGUGAGUAACACGUGGAUAACCUACCUAUAAGACUGGUAUAACUUCGGGAAACCGUAGCUAAUACCGUAUAAUAUAUUGAACCGCAUGGUUCAAUAGUUAUAUUCGGUUUUGCUGUCUCUUAUAGAUUGAUCCGCGCCGCAUUAGCUAGUUGGUAAGGUAACGGCUUACCAAGGCAACGAUGCGUAGCCGACCUGAGAGGGUGAUCGGCGACACUGGAACGGAGACACGGUCCAGACUCCUACGGGAGGCAGCAGUAGGGAAUCUUCCGCAAUGGGCGAAAGCAUGACGGAGCAACGCCGCGUGAGAGAUGAAGGUCUUCGGAUCGUAAAACUCUGUUAUUAGGGAAGAACAAAUGUGUAAGUAAAUAUGCACGUAUUGACGGUACCUAAUCAGAAAGCCACGGCUAACUACGUG